Molecule: ribosomal RNA, 486 nt
Filed under: uncultured bacterium
Lineage: Bacteria
Description: partial 16S ribosomal RNA
Rfam family: Bacterial small subunit ribosomal RNA
Source: RNAcentral
AUUGAACGCUGGCGGCAUGCCUUACACAUGCAAGUCGAACGGCAGCACGGGUGCUUGCACCUGGUGGCGAGUGGCGAACGGGUGAGUAAUACAUCGGAACAUGUCCUGUAGUGGGGGAUAGCCCGGCGAAAGCCGGAUUAAUACCGCAUACGAUCUACGCAUGAAAGCGGGGGACCUUCGGGCCUCGCGCUAUAGGGUUGGCCGAUAGCUGAUUAGCUAGUUGGUGGGGUAAAGGCCUACCAAGGCGACGAUCAGUAGCUGGUCUGAGAGGACGACCAGCCACACUGGGACUGAGACACGGCCCAGACUCCUACGGGAGGCAGCAGUGGGGAAUUUUGGACAAUGGGCGAAAGCCUGAUCCAGCAAUGCCGCGUGUGUGAAGAAGGCCUUCGGGUUGUAAAGCACUUUUGUCCGGAAAGAAAUCCUUGGCUCUAAUACAGUCGGGGGAUGACGGUACCGGAAGAAUAAGCACCGGCUAACUACGUG